AGCGGCGGACGGGUGAGUAACGCGUGGGUAACCUGCCUCAUACAGGGGGAUAACAGUUGGAAACGGCUGCUAAUACCGCAUAAGCGCACAGUACCGCAUGGUACGGUGUGAAAAACUCCGGUGGUAUGAGAUGGACCCGUGUCUGAUUAGGUAGUUGGUGGGGUAACGGCCUACCAAGCCGACGAUCAGUAGCCGACCUGAGAGGGUGACCGGCCACAUUGGGACUGAGACACGGCCCAA
RNAcentral lists this ribosomal RNA (240 nucleotides) under uncultured bacterium. RNAcentral describes it as "partial 16S ribosomal RNA". It matches the Rfam family "Bacterial small subunit ribosomal RNA", at positions 94 to 334 of the family's 1533-position model. The record is from RNAcentral.